This 679-nucleotide ribosomal RNA is filed under the name uncultured bacterium. RNAcentral describes it as "bacterial SSU rRNA". It matches the Rfam family "Bacterial small subunit ribosomal RNA", at positions 8 to 696 of the family's 1533-position model. The record is from RNAcentral.
AGAGUUUGAUCCUGGCUCAGGACGAACGCUGGCGGCGUGCUUAACACAUGCAAGUCGAACGGAAUCCAUGGUGUAGCAAUACACCGGAAGAUUUAGUGGCGAACGGGUGAGGAUCACGUGAGAAACCUGCCCCAGACUUUGGGAUAACAAUUGGAAACGAUUGCUAAUACCGAAUGACGUCGGAGAACCGCAUGGUUCACUGACGAAAGGAAAUCCGGUUUGGGAGGGUCUCGCGGCCUAUCAGCUUGUUGGUGGGGUAAUGGCCUACCAAGGCAACGACGGGUAGCUGGUCUGAGAGGAUGAUCAGCCACACUGGGACUGAGACACGGCCCAGACUCCUACGGGAGGCAGCAGUGGGGAAUCUUGCGCAAUGGGCGAAAGCCUGACGCAGCAACGCCGCGUGCGGGAUGAAGGCCUUCGGGCUGUAAACCGCUUUCAGCAGGAACGAAAAUGACGGUACCUGCAGAAGAAGGAGCGGCCAACUACGUGCCAGCAGCCGCGGUGACACGUAGACUCCAAGCGUUGUCCGGAUUUAUUGGGCGUAAAGAGCUCGUAGGCGGUUUAGUAAGUCGGGUGUUAAAACUCUGGGCUCAACCCGGNNNNNCCAUCCGAUACUGCUGUGACUUGAGUUCANNNNNGGAGCGGGGAAUUCCUAGUGUAGCGGUGAAAUGCGCAGNUA